GUGGGGAAUCUUGCGCAAUGGGCGAAAGCCUGACGCAGCCAUGCCGCGUGAAUGAUGAAGGUCUUAGGAUUGUAAAAUUCUUUCACCGGGGACGAUAAUGACGGUACCCGGAGAAGAAGCUCCGGCUAACUUCGUGCCAGCAGCCGCGGUAAUACGAAGGGGGCUAGCGUUGCUCGGAAUUACUGGGCGUAAAGGGCGCGUAGGCGGACAGCUUAGUCAGAGGUGAAAGCCCAGGGCCAAACCUUGGAAUUGCCUUUGAUACUGGGUGGCUGGAGUUUGGGAGAGGUGAGUGGAACUCCGAGUGUAGAGGUGAAAUGCGUAGAUAUUCGGAAGAACACCAGUGGCGAAGGCGACUCACUGGCCCGUUACUGACGCUGAGGCGCGAAAGCGUGGGGAGCAAACAGGAUUAGAAACCCUGGUAGUCC
Molecule: ribosomal RNA, 425 nt
Filed under: uncultured bacterium
Lineage: Bacteria
Description: partial 16S ribosomal RNA
Rfam family: Bacterial small subunit ribosomal RNA
Source: RNAcentral